RNAcentral lists this ribosomal RNA (421 nucleotides) under uncultured bacterium. Its description in RNAcentral is "bacterial SSU rRNA". It matches the Rfam family "Bacterial small subunit ribosomal RNA", at positions 508 to 927 of the family's 1533-position model. The record is from RNAcentral.
UCAGCAGCCGCGGUAAUACGGAGGAUGCAAGCGUUAUCCGGAAUGAUUGGGCGUAAAGCGUCCGCAGGUGGCUGUGUAAGUCUGCUGUCAAAGCGUCUGGCUUAACCAGAUAAAGGCAGUGGAAACUACACGGCUAGAGUGCGUUCGGGGCAGAGGGAAUUCCUGGUGUAGCGGUGAAAUGCGUAGAGAUCAGGAAGAACACCGGUGGCGAAGGCGCUCUGCUAGGCCGCAACUGACACUGAGGGACGAAAGCUAGGGGAGCGAAUGGGAUUAGAUACCCCAGUAGUCCUAGCCGUAAACGAUGGAUACUAGGCGUUGCGAGUAUCGACCCUCGCAGUGCCGGAGCCAACGCGUUAAGUAUCCCGCCUGGGGAGUACGCACGCAAGUGUGAAACUCAAAGGAAUUGACGGGGGCCCGCACA